CAACCAUGCAUCAUGUCAUUUAUUCAAGUGACAUAUCAUUUUUAAAGGGACAGUUCACCCAAAAUGAAAUUUUUGUCAUAAUUUACUCACUCUCGUGUUGUUUCAAACCUGUAUGCCUUUCAAAUCUUCUAUUGAACAGAAAAGGAGAUUUGGCAGAAUGUUCCAUAUCAGUCACCAUUCACUUUCAUUGUAUGGAAAAAACAAAGAUGCACUGAAACAGAAUGGUUACUGAAGUCAAUCAGUCCAAAAAAACUUGUUUUGUGUUCCACGGAAGAAAACCACACAGAUUUGGAACAACAUGAGACUGUAACUAUCCCUUUAAAAAGAUGUGUAAAGUGUCAGAAGUGCCACUAUGAAACAUAGAUUUAUAAGGCAGUUUAAGGUCCCUGUUUGAAAGUCAAAUAGCCUAAUGUGGGAGCUUGUAGUGUUUACCAUUUCAACAAAAACAUUUAUACUGACAACAAUCAACCUUUUAUGCAAACAGACCACUGAGCCAGACCUUUGGUUCAUGGAAGUUAGAGUUUGAGGAUCUUUUGUGGUGGCAUAGUACAAGACGUUCUGACCAGCCAGUCAUUUUUAUGUAGCUAUUCAGAACUAUACUGGAAAUCUGAGUGUAUGUUGACCAAUCUUUACUUGCCUUGAGACGCUGUCUUUGAUGUGCACAUCAGUUGUUGCGAUGGUCGAUGAGGUCCAGUGGAACUUGAGUAUAACCAUGAGUGAAUUCUACCUGUCUCAAAAUCAGAAAAUAAAAUUCACCCAUCCAACAGCAGUGUGAGCAAAAAUGCAAAAUAUGGACCUGGCUCAUUUCCUUACAUUUGAAUAUGGCAUCUCUGGAAAGGCAUGGAACUGGUAGGUCAAGAACACAUCUGGCAAAAAGUUGUUUUUGUUGAGCUUUGUCAUGUUUAACAUUCAGCUUUACCAAAUAAGGGAUUUGCCUAAAAACUGCUUUUGCCAUUAUUUUACACAACACACAAAAAACAACCCCUUACUUUUAAACAUUAAAAUGUGAUUGUGGAUGUGCAACAGAAACAGUCUGGAACAUCAGCAGGUCGGCAACACUGAUGUUAUUUUCUGUGAAGUGUGAGCAGAUUUCACUUCUCACACAUUCUGUUUCUGCACAGUGUAAGCAAAGUUGAGUUCCUUACAGUAUCUGACUGCCAAUAUACAAUGUCCCUGAUGUGGCUUAAUGUCAAAAGCUUAAUAUGAAGUGAUGCUAUAUUUCUUCAAGACUUAUGAACUAUAUGGAUUUGACUGCGAGCAAAACCAUAGCUCUGUUUGAAGUAUUGAUUGGCUAAAAAUAAUGAUGGUAAUACUAGCUUGAAAACUGUCGGAGAUCAAGUUUUAAAUUUGAAUUUUCCUGCAUGGGAUUGUAGAACUGGAAAAGUAUGCUGCUGCAACAUAACAGACUUCCCAAAUGAUCUGUCUAAUGGCUGUUACAAUUCAAACUACAAGAUGCAAAUGUUGUGGAGUUAUAAAUGAAGUUUUAAAUCAUAUUUAAAGUGGUUCAACCAGUGCAUUCAAUAGCGGUGUUAACCACCAUGCAAACUACGCAAUUACGAUUUCUGAGGCCCGAUGAGUCCAGCCCGUGGGCCCCCUUUCGGCAUACAAAUGGGGGAAAUAACAUAAA
This is a long non-coding RNA of Myxocyprinus asiaticus (Chinese sucker), 1627 nucleotides long. RefSeq lists it as uncharacterized. The record is from RefSeq and is a predicted model, not a curated record. NCBI's taxonomy places the organism in Eukaryota, Metazoa, Chordata, Actinopteri, Cypriniformes, Catostomidae. The transcript is spliced from 3 exons.